This is a long non-coding RNA of Dama dama (fallow deer), 803 nucleotides long. RefSeq lists it as uncharacterized. The record is from RefSeq and is a predicted model, not a curated record. The transcript is spliced from 5 exons. Lineage: Eukaryota; Metazoa; Chordata; Mammalia; Artiodactyla; Cervidae.
GCCACGGUCGGAGGCGCGGCUGCGGGUCUAGGAGCUACAGUACCCCCUCAGAGUCGCUCAAGGCAAGAAGACCCAGAGACAGCAAGACUGAAACAAAAAGCAAAGGAGGUGCCUGUUUCCUAGAAGUGGCAGCUGUGCCUGACUAAUUGAGUUGCAGUAAACCCAGUUGUCCAGAAACUGUUUCCCACACCAACAAGCAGUGUGCCUUCACCAACUGAAGUCUUACACUCAACUCAAUUCUGUUGCUAUCUGGAGAUAUUCUGCUGGAGAAGAGCAGAGAAAUAGCUCCAGAAGGAAAGAAGAGGCUGCGCCAAAGUGAAAACAACGCCAAGUUGUGGAUGUGUCUGGUGGUGGAAGUAAAGUCUGAUGCUGUAAAGAACAAUACUGCAUAGGAACCUGGAAUGUUAUGUCCAUGAAUCAAGGUCAACAAGCUACAACAUGCAGUGCCAGUUCAACAAAGAGAUAAAACUACAGCUGACCACAGAAAAUAUCACUCACCCUUAGAUGGACACUGCUAUAAGGACUCUGAGGUUUGAGACUAGCAAGAGGGGGAGGCCCAAUACCCCUCACCAUCCUGGUUCAGCAGGAAGUAGCCAGAAAGACCUUGACACCCCUAUUCCCAAAGAAUUGGACCUGCCAUCUCUUGAGGGGGGGCUGUUAGGUAAUUAGAAUAUGAACCAGGAGUCCAGAAUGGUGGUGCCUAAAAGACAAGGAAGGGAAAAGCCCACGAAAAUAGAACAAAAGAAGGUCAAAGGAAGGUCCGAGGACCGGAGUGAGGACCUCAGGUAGAGCAAACAGCACUC